Long non-coding RNA from Aedes albopictus (Asian tiger mosquito), 1275 nucleotides. RefSeq lists it as uncharacterized. The record is from RefSeq and is a predicted model, not a curated record. NCBI's taxonomy places the organism in Eukaryota, Metazoa, Arthropoda, Insecta, Diptera, Culicidae. The transcript is spliced from 2 exons.
UUUCGGUUAGGUGGAAGGUCUUCUCAGUCAGGUAUGUGGUGAUUGGAGUUGGACCAUGGAGGUGCAUAUUGAACAGUGUCUGUUUAGGCAUCCAGUGGCUGAAUAUGAAAUGUUCCUCCACCGGAAGUUAUAUACUGAAACCACAUUGUAGGUAAAUUCAAUUAAGGGGUUAUAUAUGUUAAAGUGCGUAAAUAUAAGGAAAAGUUUGUAUUUUUGUAAAAGUAUGUACAGUAUUAAAUGUGUAAAAUUACCUUAUGUACUGUAACCGUUCGCUAAACUAUUCUUGAGGGUCGAUAAAGCGCGGUGGCUUAAGCGCCACUCUCAGAGAGAGACCACCGGUCGUGUUGAAGUAUGCCCGACUAUGCUAGAGACUAUUCCUCUCAGGGAUGGUUUUCGAACGGUUCAUCGAAAAACGGCAGAAUUGCUUCGAAAAACGCAAGAUUAAGUUCUACUCUUUCGCAGGCUAACAGAACCUUAGGGAGAGCCGAAGGGAUGCUUACUCAAUCGAGCAGAAUAACGGAACGAAACGUAACUAAAGGUAGCGACUCAUUCGUGUUGGACGGAAAUUUCAAUACGGAAUGGAAAGAGCAAACAUGGCCAUGUAAAAAAGAAGCUCUUGACGUACCUGCGCAGGUUUUUUGACGACGAUCGAUGGCGGGGCGACGACGAAGCUCGACGACUCGAUGAUGGCGUCCUUCGGUUCUCGAAGAUGGCGGUACCUGGCGUGUUGGUGCUGCGUUUUGGCGCGCAGCGACGACGAGGAGACCCGUGUGCGUUAUGGCCGUAUUAUCGUUGCGGAGGGAGUGGCGGCUGGACGGAAGCUUCCGGUUUAUCUCGACGAGAGAAUGCGGCGGAUGCCGUACGAUUCCCGGGACGGUCCCUCACCAGUCGAUAGGAGAGCUACAGAGACCAGCGACCCGGCUUCGCGUACUUAGGUUCCAACUAUGACCGAGCGGGGAAUGCCACUACUCCUAUGUACCUGGAUUGUGACCGGGUUCGCGGCGUGCAAUUGACGACACGCUGCACGCGAACCAAAACUCUCGUUCCCUGGUCCACGGGGUUAGACGAAAUUGGACCUACCUUCGGUUUUUGGCGACCGAGGGGGAUUACUCGCUACGGAAAAUAGCUUAGCGACUUCACUCCACUCCGUUUGGCUACCUUUGAAGGCGGGCCUUAGCUGGGCACACGGGUCGCGUUCAACGGACGAAAGGGCGGUUCACUCCGCCAAUAACACCCCGAUUCGGCGAUGACGAUCGCCGAAAUAGCACGGAAAUC